AUGGCAAAGACACAAGCUCCAGCCCACAGUGUGGCUGGAGGGAUUUGGCCCCUGGCUGUAGUUCGCCUAUUCCCAGUCUACAGUCUGAGUCCUCGGUCUCUAGCUCUGGUUUCUGUGAAGGUUGUCAUUCUCCAGUCCCUGAAGGAAGGACUUGCUCUUCUCCCUGAACAGGAAUUCGAGGGAUGCGAGGUUGCCAGUAACCUACGAGGGAAAAUGAUUUCUCCUGCUGCCUGCCUUUCUGCGUCCAUGUUUGAGCAGAGUUUACACUCUGGGAAGACACAGACAUACCAGGUGUUUGUGACUCCAUGUUACCCCGACAUAUCUGCCCUGUUUGAAAAUUGCAGGAAAGGUAAAAACUUAGUCAUACUUAAGUGGGGAAAUCCCACAAUGACAGAUUUCUCACAGCAUGAGAAGUUAUGGAAUAAGUCUGUCCUAGACCAUUGGGUAGAUCUUUGGAGUGGACAUGCCUCUUCUCUCAGAGAGUUUAUAGCUGUCUCCUUGGAUUCUAGUCCAGGAGUCAUUAAGAAUGCAG
This 532-nucleotide long non-coding RNA is filed under the name Macaca mulatta (Rhesus monkey). RNAcentral's name for it is "lncRNA (ENSMMUG00000053364.1)". Lineage: Eukaryota; Metazoa; Chordata; Mammalia; Primates; Cercopithecidae. The record is from RNAcentral.